RNAcentral lists this ribosomal RNA (585 nucleotides) under uncultured Acinetobacter sp. RNAcentral describes it as "bacterial SSU rRNA". It matches the Rfam family "Bacterial small subunit ribosomal RNA", at positions 346 to 920 of the family's 1533-position model. The record is from RNAcentral. Lineage: Bacteria; Pseudomonadati; Pseudomonadota; Gammaproteobacteria; Moraxellales; Moraxellaceae.
AGGCAGCAGUGGGGAAUAUUGGACAAUGGGCGCAAGCCUGAUCCAGCCAUGCCGCGUGUGUGAAGAAGGCCUUUUGGUUGUAAAGCACUUUAAGCGAGGAGGAGGCUACUUAGAUUAAUACUCUAGGAUAGUGGACGUUACUCGCAGAAUAAGCACCGGCUAACUCUGUGCCAGCAGCCGCGGUAAUACAGAGGGUGCGAGCGUUAAUCGGAUUUACUGGGCGUAAAGCGUGCGUAGGCGGCUUUUUAAGUCGGAUGUGAAAUCCCCUGAGCUUAACUUAGGAAUUGCAUUCGAUACUGGGAAGCUAGAGUAUGGGAGAGGAUGGUAGAAUUCCAGGUGUAGCGGUGAAAUGCGUAGAGAUCUGGAGGAAUACCGAUGGCGAAGGCAGCCAUCUGGCCUAAUACUGACGCUGAGGUACGAAAGCAUGGGGAGCAAACAGGAUUAGAUACCCCUGGUAGUCCANGCCGUAAACGAUGUCUACUAGCCGUUGGGGUCUUUGAGACUUUAGUGGCGCAGCUAACGCGAUAAGUAGACCGCCUGGGGAGUACGGUCGCAAGACUAAAACUCAAAUGAAUUGACGGGGGC